UCGGAGUUUUAGAGUACGGAAAUUGGCAUGUUUCCUCAGCCAAAAAUAAAUUAUUUCUCUAUCUCAAUACAUAAGAAUAUGUAAGAUACUUUAAUUUAUUGAUUUAGUGGUGUACUUCGUUUACGGUAUUUUUAUAUAUGUCAAUACAUAGUAUUAUUUCUCUUAAAAUAUGAAAAUAUAUAUUAUUUAUAUAAUAUACUUAUGCUAUUUUAUACAUAUAAAACUUCAAUGUGACUAGUAGGAAACAUCCCAAUUACUUGAUUAAAUGUAAGUACUUUAAAUAUACUUUAUAUGUCUUAUGUGAAUUUUGCGUAAAUUGUAGCCUCAUAAAUGUGUACAACAAGUAUCUAAUGUUUAGCUCAAUAAUUUUUCGACAUUCGCAGAUAGGUACCUAACUAUGUAUUCUAGUUUCGUUAUUUUUGUGGAAAAUGUAUUGUAAUUUGAUAACUCUUAAUACUUCGGUCGAUAAAACUUUUUAGAAAGUAGAAUUACUUAUUAAAGCUAGAGAAUAAUUUAAAGUUUAUUUGUUUAACUAUACGGAGUCUUUUUAUACACGAGGAGAGAAAAGAAAUCCAACAAAGUAGGUAUUUGUGUAACUAAUUAUUAUGUAUUUUCACGUACGAUGUAGUAAUUUAAGUGUAAUAUUGCAUGUUUUUCCGAAACCAUUAAUAUUUAUUGUGCCUGUACAAAAAUUAAAUGGCAUCGUGUGUCACGGUUGAGGCAUACCUAUAUUAUGUAUGUGAUAAUGUAUGUAAUUCACCUAUACUUAUAUGUAUAUCUUAUCAAUAGUAACCUAAUAUAUUGAUUUUAAUUGCAAGAUAAUAAUUUGCCACAAAAGCAGUAAUUUAACUAAAAACUACGGUUUACUCUCACUCACGUAAAUAUAUUGAGGAAAGCUCUACUAAUUUCGAGUCACAGAGGGACUUUCCGUCAUGAGCAGCGUGCGCAGACGCGGCGACGUAGGUAAUGUAGGUAUAUAUAUAUAUACACUAGUGGACCCGACAGACGUCGCCCUGUCAAAAUUAAAAAAUAAUUAAAAAAACAUUGUCCAGCGGACAAAAUUGUGAAUCUAAACCAUUCUCAGAUCCCCUUGAACACACACAAAAAGUUUCAUCAUAAUCGAUCCAGUCGUUUUAGAGAAGUUCAGUGACAUACACACUUACAGAAGAAUUAUAUAUAUAUACUAGCGGACCCGACAGACGUUGUCCUGUCUACACGUCUUUAAUUUCAAAAUUUGUCGGAUCCAAUGUAAAACAUUCCAAAAUCAACAACUACUAAUAAAUUAAAAAUUAAUUAAAAAAUCAUUGUCCAGCGGACAAAAUUGUGAAUCUAAACCAUUCUCAGAUCCCCUUGAACACACACAAAAAAUUUCAUCAAAAUCAGUCCAGUCGUUUAAGAGAAGUUCAGUGACAUACACACUUACAGAAUAAUUAUAUAUAUAAAGAUAUACAUGGAUACACCGUUGUUUUAGAUAGUAUGUCACACGAUAGUUAUAAAAAAAGCAAUAAUAUCUUAUUUUAAUUUGACAAUGAGUAAAAUUUUGGAACUUUUCAUGGAGUAUACCAAAUUAUUGUUAUUUUUAAUGGCAUAAGUGCAGGAAAUGUGCAGACGCAUCACCAGAUAGUAAUCAGUGUCGCCAAUGGACAUUCGCAAUACUAGAGGAUUUACAAGUGUGUUGGCAGACUUUUGGGUAGUUUUGGGGACUGGGGAUUCGGGAAUUAGAGUAGUUAGAUCUGUAUUCUGUAUACAAAAAAACAAACAAACAAACUGUUAGUACUUAGUUUUAUUUUGCUAUCGUAUGUUCAUUAUCUGUAAGAUUAUGUUUUCAUCCGUGUAAUACCUCUUUUUCAACGGUACGACAUUUAUAUUACACGUUUUAAAAUAAAAGCACGGAAUUAAACGCAUAUGUGCAAAUCAGUGUGGCAUUUUCCUGUAUAUCUUAAGGCUGUCAGGAUAACACCGUAUCCGUCAUGACUGCGCGUAACAUCGUCCUAAUACUGUGUUGGCUGUUGGCGGGCCAGUCACAAUGGCUGGAUGGCAUCGCGAAGAGUUUGGGCUACGGGAGUGUCUAUCACCACGCGGUCACCCUCGAUGAUAGCAUACAGAUACACAAGGAGUUUACUUUUAACCAGAAAUUAUCUUUAACACGUGAGUCCGUCCUCAUAAAAAUUUUGAACACGUUUCGAUCCAAAAAUUAAUAAAAAGCAGAUAUAAUAUAUUUCCAAAUGCUUUCAUUGUUAAUGUAGUUUUACCUGACACAUGUGUUAGGCCAUAUUUCAUAAAACUUAUUAUCGUAUUCCACAUUUUAUUACUUUUUUAUCAACGGCUGUGAUUAUUAUCGAUAAAUCAGUGAAUUGAGUGAGGGGGCUUUUUUACAUAAUAUUUUUAGCUGACUGCCUCGUUGGUCGAGUGGCCGCAAUUGCGACUGCCGGGCAAUGGGUCUCGGGUUGGAUUCCCGUGUCGGGCAGAGUAUUACUGAGUUUUUUUCGCUUUCUCGAAAAACUUCUCUGUAGUAGCACGGAGUCUGGAAUUACCUAUGUCCGGUAUAUGGCAAUAGGCUCACCCCCUAUUACAUGGACUUAUAAAGAAAUGGUGAAAAGUGUGCGUACAUUGUACAGCACUGACUGCACGGUUGGCGCGGUGGCUGGGCAACUGGCUGCCGUGCAACGUGUCGUGGGUUCGAUUCCCGCACGGAACAACUCUUUGUGUGAUCCACAGAUUGUUGUUUCGGGUCUGGGUGUCAUGUGCUUGUGAAAUUAUAUGUUUGUAAACGCACCCACGACACAGGAGAAAAUCCUAAUGUGGGACAUCGUUUAAAAAAAAAAAAAGGCAGAAGUGCACAUUACAUCACUUCUGCCUACCCCUUCGGAGAGGAAGGGCGUGACGUUGUUAGUUUUUUAUUUUUAGCCAAAUUAUUUGAUGUAGAUAUUAUCUAGUGGUAUUGAUACCUAGCCGACGUGGUCAUAUUGGUGUUAUGUGUAAAUUGUACAAAUUUAAUAAAUGUUGUAUCUUAA
Long non-coding RNA from Spodoptera frugiperda (fall armyworm), 3014 nucleotides. RefSeq lists it as uncharacterized. Lineage: Eukaryota; Metazoa; Arthropoda; Insecta; Lepidoptera; Noctuidae. The transcript has 2 exons. The record is from RefSeq and is a predicted model, not a curated record.